This 365-nucleotide long non-coding RNA is filed under the name Homo sapiens (human). Its description in RNAcentral is "HSALNT0359165". Lineage: Eukaryota; Metazoa; Chordata; Mammalia; Primates; Hominidae. The record is from RNAcentral.
AGCUCCCUGCCUUGUGAUUACCAUAUUAACCCAUCUUUGCUCUGCCUUAUACCAAUAUGAUCCACAGGCCACUGUAAGGAGCAGUUAUUUAGCCUCGACAGGGCAGGGGAUUUUAGUCUGAAUCAUUGCUGAAUCUCCAGUCCCUGCAAAACAACCUGCACAUUGCAUGAGGAAAGGCCAUGUGAAGAUAAAGAAAAGGCUGCCAUCUCCAGGUCAGGAAGAGAGGUCUCACCAGAAACCAACUUGGACUUCUAGCAUCUAGAACUGUGAGAAAAUAGAUUUCUGUUGCUUAAGCCACCUAGUCUGUGAUUUUUCAUUAUGGCAGCCAAUGUAGACUAAUACAAUAAUAAAUAAAUUAGACAAUA